RNAcentral lists this long non-coding RNA (263 nucleotides) under Elaeis guineensis (African oil palm). Its description in RNAcentral is "long non-coding RNA (EGUI_LNC032179)". The record is from RNAcentral. Lineage: Eukaryota; Viridiplantae; Streptophyta; Magnoliopsida; Arecales; Arecaceae.
ACUAUUGUUUAAGGGGAAGAACAAGACGACGCUAAUAAGCAUCAUCGAAAGCCAUAUAUCCCACCCCCAAAAUUGAUAGCCCUAAUCUUUUCUCCUCCUUUUUAUCCUCUGAUCCCAAUUGCUCUUCGUCAAUCCUGCCUCUCCUCGUGAGCUCCUCCAAUUUCUCCUCCUCCAAUCUUCUCCCAUCAUUGGAUCCACCUCCUCUGAUUCCUCCUCUAAGCUCCUCGUCCGUAGAUCUGAGCAAGGUGCUCAUCAAGAAGAAA